RNAcentral lists this unclassified non-coding RNA (937 nucleotides) under Armillaria gallica. The record is from RNAcentral. Lineage: Eukaryota; Fungi; Basidiomycota; Agaricomycetes; Agaricales; Physalacriaceae.
CUCUAAGUCAGAAUCCGUGCUAGAAACGAUGAUGUUGGUGUCGCACAUUAGACUUGUGUUUAAAUAGAGCUUUGCUCGUGAACCAAAUAUGGUGGGCUGGGUUGUCUUUGCGGAAACGCUUGGGCGACUUGUCUACGAAUUGUAAUCAUAAUAUGGGCGGCGGUGAAUCCUUUGCAGACGACUUGAAUGGGAACGGGGUACUGUAAGUGGUAGAGUAGCCUUGUUGCUACGAUCCACUGAGGUUAAGCCCUUGUUCUAAAGAUUUGUUCAACUUUGUUGGACUUUCUCUUUUCCUUUUACAUGCUGAGACCUUGAGGGCCGGGAUAGUAUCCUUUGUGCACUCGCGACAGCAUGUUACUUAGAUUCGAAAGGGUAGGCUAACAACAACGCCUUAGUGUUUUGUUACCUUUCUCUUUUGAAUCACGAGUUAUUAUGAGCCUUGAAGGCUUAUAAGGCACUUAGUUAGCAAGCUCUAACCGUGCGCUGACUUGGAACGGUCUUUACCUUGUACUUGAUAUCGACCUUAUGGCCGAUAUCCCGUAUAUGGUAUAGCCAAGAUCCUUGAAAGGGCGAGUCGACGACUGAUUUUCUGGAUCGUUAGUGAGCCUGAGGGCCUGCCCUAAGGUUGCCAUGAUUGAAAAGGCCUUAGAAGCUAAGUAAGUUAAGCUACGGUUACCUUUUUAGCCGUUUCAACCGUUUGCUUAGCUUUCGAGGGCUACGUUCAAAAUUUGAACGGCAACUGGUUCUGAAACGAAAGGUUUGCUAAGUAAACCAUUGGUCAAGAUCGGUUUGCAACAAUUUUGGUGGCUGUAGGGCGAGUUUUCAUUGACUUGGCCUAUAGUGCGAGUUGGUAACAAACGCAUAAAUGCAUACUUGUAUCCACGGCCAUAGGACUAUCACUAGUGAUCGCGCGCUGCAGUCGACAUAUGGGAGAGCU